RNAcentral lists this non-coding RNA (831 nucleotides) under Tropidurus guarani. RNAcentral's name for it is "partial small subunit ribosomal RNA". It matches the Rfam family "Bacterial small subunit ribosomal RNA". The record is from RNAcentral. Lineage: Eukaryota; Metazoa; Chordata; Lepidosauria; Squamata; Tropiduridae.
GGUCCUAAACUUACCGCUGUUUUUGACUAAAAUUACACAUGCAAGUAUCCGCAUGCCGGUGAAAACGAGCCCAAAAAUUUAAGAGGAGCAGGUAUCAGGCGCGAAAUUCAGCCCAAGACACCUUGCCACGCCACACCCCCACGGGAACUCAGCAGUGAUAGACAUUGGGCCAUAAGCGACAACCACCCCCAAGCUCGACCCAGCUAUAGUCAUCAAGGGCCGGCUAAUCUCGUGCCAGCCGCCGCGGUUAUACGAGAGGCCCAAAUCAGCAUAUAACGGCGUAAAUUGUGACUAGAUGAAGCUACCAACAAAGGGGAGAAAUCAACCCGAUUAGUAAAAUAUAAGAUAAAAGAACCCCCUUUGCUUAAAGCACUUUGAACUCACGAAAGCUAAGAAACAAACUAGGAUUAGAUACCCUACUAUGCUUAGCCAUUAAUACGCCACAUACCAACAACCGUGGUCGCCAGAGAAUUACAAGCGAAAAGCUUAAAACUCAAAAGACUUGGCGGUGCCCCAAAUCAACUUAGAGGAGCCUGUCCUAUAAUCGAUACCCCACGAUAAACCAAACCCCUCUUUGCCAAAUCAGCCUAUAUACCGCCGUCGCAAACCUACCUCACAAGAGAUAAGUCGUAGGUAAAAUAGUAUCCCACUAAAACGUCAGGUCAAGGUGUAGCUAAUAGAGGGGAAGAGAUGGGCUACAUUCUUUAAUAAUAUAAAGCAUACAGAAAGAGCCCUGAAAUCUCUCUCGAAGGUGAAUUUAAUAGUAAACCUGGUAAGAAAGCCAGUUUUAAUACUGCUCUGGGGCGCGCACACACCGCCCGUCACCCUCAU